UGGGGAAUUUUGGACAAUGGGCGCAAGCCUGAUCCAGCAAUGCCGCGUGCAGGAUGAAGGCCUUCGGGUUGUAAACUGCUUUUGUACGGAGCGAAAAGGUCUGCCCUAAUACGGUGGGCUCAUGACGGUACCGUAAGAAUAAGCACCGGCUAACUACGUGCCAGCAGCCGCGGUAAUACGUAGGGUGCGAGCGUUAAUCGGAAUUACUGGGCGUAAAGCGUGCGCAGGCGGUUUUGUAAGUCUGAUGUGAAAUCCCCGGGCUCAACCUGGGAAUUGCAUUGGAGACUGCAAGGCUAGGAUCUGGCAGGGGGAGGUAGAAUUCCACGGGUAGCAGUGAAAUGCGUAGAUAUGCGGAGGAACACCGAUGGCGAAGGCAAUCCCCUGGACCUGUACUGACGCUCAUGCAGGAAAGCGUGGGGAGCAAACA
RNAcentral lists this ribosomal RNA (427 nucleotides) under uncultured bacterium. RNAcentral's name for it is "bacterial SSU rRNA". It matches the Rfam family "Bacterial small subunit ribosomal RNA", at positions 355 to 774 of the family's 1533-position model. The record is from RNAcentral.